Molecule: ribosomal RNA, 527 nt
Filed under: uncultured bacterium
Lineage: Bacteria
Description: bacterial SSU rRNA
Rfam family: Bacterial small subunit ribosomal RNA
Source: RNAcentral
AGGGUUUGAUCAUGGCUCAGAUUGAACGCUGGCGGCAGGCUUAACACAUGCAAGUCGAGCGGUAACAGGGGAGCUUGCUCCUGCUGACGAGCGGCGGACGGGUGAGUAACGCGUAGGAAUCUACCUAGUAGAGGGGGACAACAUGUGGAAACGCAUGCUAAUACCGCAUACGCCCUACGGGGGAAAGGAGGGGACUUUUCGGAGCCUUCCGCUAUUAGAUGAGCCUGCGUAAGAUUAGCUAGUUGGUAGGGUAAAGGCCUACCAAGGCGACGAUCUUUAACUGGUCUGAGAGGAUGACCAGUCACACUGGGACUGAGACACGGCCCAGACUCCUACGGGAGGCAGCAGUGGGGAAUAUUGGACAAUGGGCGGAAGCCUGAUCCAGCCAUGCCGCGUGUGUGAAGAAGGCCUUAGGGUUGUAAAGCACUUUCAGGGGUGAGGAAGGGUAGCUAGUUAAUACCUAGUUAUCUUGACGUUAGCCCCAGAAGAAGCACCGGCUAACUCUGUGCCAGCCGCCGCGGUAAUAC